AGGGGCAUUUGCUACUUUUUCAUCGAGGUACAGUGCCAAGCUGUACAGUUCACUUUUUUCUAACCCCUGAGUCUCCUGGUUCUUCCAAACCCAAAGUAGGCAAGGACCCAGAAGUCAGGUGCGCAGGAAGGAGAAACACAGGGCUCACUUAGUGCCCCAAUUCCCAGCUUCCAUAAACCACCGUCAUAUACCAGGUUGGACAGCAACACUUCCGAUGAUCAGAAGUUAAUCUCACAGCAGCAUCAAGGUGGAGUGCAGCAACAAAGACCUCCAUUCUGGGGUGUACGGGGGCUCGGUGCAUGAGGCCAUGACUGAUCUCAUUUUGCUGAUGGGCUCUUUGGUGGACAAGAGGGGGAACAUCCUGAUCCCCGGCAUUAACGAGGCUGUGGCUGCCGUCACGGAAGAGGAGCACAAGCUGUACGACGACAUCGACUUUGACAUAGAGGAGUUUGCCAAGGACGUGGGGGCGCA
This 471-nucleotide small RNA is filed under the name Pongo abelii (Sumatran orangutan). RNAcentral's name for it is "processed transcript". Lineage: Eukaryota; Metazoa; Chordata; Mammalia; Primates; Hominidae. The record is from RNAcentral.